GACGAACGCUGGCGGCGUGCUUAACACAUGCAAGUCGAACGGAAAGGCCCUGCUUGCAGGGUACUCGAGUGGCGAACGGGUGAGUAACACGUGGGUGAUCUGCCCUGCACUUCGGGAUAAGCCUGGGAAACUGGGUCUAAUACCGGAUAGGAGCCAUUUUUAGUGUGAUGGUUGGAAAGUUUUUUCGGUGUAGGAUGAGCUCGCGGCCUAUCAGCUUGUUGGUGGGGUAAUGGCCUACCAAGGCGGCGACGGGUAGCCGGCCUGAGAGGGUGGACGGCCACAUGGGGACUGAGAUACGGCCCAGACUCCUACGGGAGGCAGCAGUGGGGAAUAUUGCACAAUGGGCGCAAGCCUGAUGCAGCGACGCCGCGUGGGGGAUGACGGCCUUCGGGUGGUAAACUCCUUUCGCUAGGGACGAAGCUUUUUGUGACGGGACCUAGAUAAGAAGCACCGGCUAACUACG
This 463-nucleotide ribosomal RNA is filed under the name uncultured bacterium. RNAcentral describes it as "partial 16S ribosomal RNA". It matches the Rfam family "Bacterial small subunit ribosomal RNA", at positions 28 to 505 of the family's 1533-position model. The record is from RNAcentral.